UCCGGUUUGUCAUCGGCAGUCUCCCUAGAGUGCCCAGCAUGACCUGAUGGCAACUAAAUGUAGGGGUUGCGCUCGUUGCAGGACUUAACCUAACAUCUCACGACACGAGCUGACGACAGCCAUGCAGCACCUGUGCACGAUCUCCGAAGAGGGGCUCUCGUUUCUGAGAGCUUGCUCGUGCAUGUCAAGCCUAGGUAAGGUUCUUCGCGUUGCGUCGAAUUAAACCACAUGCUCCACCGCUUGUGCGGGCCCCCGUCAAUUCCUUUGAGUUUCAACCUUGCGGUCGUACUCCCCAGGCGGGGUACUUCCUGCGUUAGCGCCGGCACCCAGAGGGUCGCUCCCCCAAGCACCUAGUACCCAUCGUUUACGGCGUGGACUAC
Molecule: unclassified non-coding RNA, 380 nt
Filed under: uncultured Gemmatimonadaceae bacterium
Lineage: Bacteria; Pseudomonadati; Gemmatimonadota; Gemmatimonadia; Gemmatimonadales; Gemmatimonadaceae
Description: contains 16S-23S intergenic spacer region
Source: RNAcentral